GACGAACGCUGGCGGCGUGCUUAACACAUGCAAGUCGAACGGUAAGGCCCUUCGGGGUACACGAGUGGCGAACGGGUGAGUAACACAUGGGUGAUCUGCCCUGCACUUCGGGAUAAGCCUGGGAAACUUGGUCUAAUACCGGAUAGGACCAAUACCGGCAUGGGUGGUGGUGGAAUGCUUUUGCGGUGUGGGAUGGGCCCGUGGCCUAUCAGCUUGUUGGUGGGGUGAUGGCCUACCAAUGCGACGACGGGUAGCCGGCCUGAGAGGGUGACCGGCCCCACUGGGACUGAGAUACGGCCCAGACUCCUACGGGAGGCAGCAGUGGGGAAUAUUGCACAAUGGGCGCAAGCCUGAUGCAGCGACGCCGCGUGAGGGAUGACGGCCUUCGGGUUGUAAACCUCUUUCAGCACCGACGAAACGCAAGUGACGGUAGGUGCAGAAGAAGGACCGGCCAACUACGUGCCAGCCGCCGCCGUAA
This 478-nucleotide ribosomal RNA is filed under the name uncultured bacterium. RNAcentral describes it as "partial 16S ribosomal RNA". It matches the Rfam family "Bacterial small subunit ribosomal RNA", at positions 28 to 523 of the family's 1533-position model. The record is from RNAcentral.